This 73-nucleotide transfer RNA is filed under the name Flavobacteriaceae bacterium. Its description in RNAcentral is "tRNA-Thr". It matches the Rfam family "tRNA". Rfam says of the family: Transfer RNA (tRNA) molecules are approximately 80 nucleotides in length. The record is from RNAcentral. Lineage: Bacteria; Pseudomonadati; Bacteroidota; Flavobacteriia; Flavobacteriales; Flavobacteriaceae.
GCCACUUUAGCUCAGUUGGUAGAGCAAUAGUUUUGUAAACUAUAGGUCGUGGGUUCAAAUCCCUCAAGUGGCU